AAGUCGUAACAAGGUAACCGUAGGUGAACCUGCGGUUGGAUCAUUAGUGUGAUCUUUAUUGAAAACUCUAUGGAGGCCACCAGGAUAUAUUCUACUUGUUGGAAUUGUUACGCCCUGGGGAGUAUAAACAUGCUGCUGGUUAGCCAGUUUAAGCAGGCCUCUUUUAUUUUUGUGUGAACUGUCUUUAAUUGUCUUUGGGGAUUGCUGUGUGCUUGAUAUCUGGGGACCCUGGUCCUUGGAUUUCACGACGACUCUAUAGAUAGGGGUGAUUCCCAUUUAGUCUAUAGGCCAGUGCCCUGUUUUUUAUAUUCCAGUUUUGAUCCUUGUGGUUGAAAUGGUGAAUUUGAUUUUAUUAUCGUGAUUUAAUUUUGUAUUGUAAACAACUAUUGGCAAUGGAUCUCUUGGCUCAU
This 410-nucleotide unclassified non-coding RNA is filed under the name fungal sp. RNAcentral's name for it is "partial internal transcribed spacer region". The stretch from base 1 to 46 matches the Rfam family "Eukaryotic small subunit ribosomal RNA", at positions 1786 to 1831 of the family's 1831-position model. The record is from RNAcentral. Lineage: Eukaryota; Fungi.